RNAcentral lists this transfer RNA (83 nucleotides) under Schistosoma mansoni. The record is from RNAcentral. Lineage: Eukaryota; Metazoa; Platyhelminthes; Trematoda; Strigeidida; Schistosomatidae.
CAGGCGGAUUUUGUAGCCACACCACUACUCUGCCAUCAUCACCCAGCAUCCCUCACUGUGACAACACCGUACACACUGUAAAA